RNAcentral lists this ribosomal RNA (281 nucleotides) under uncultured bacterium. RNAcentral's name for it is "partial 16S ribosomal RNA". It matches the Rfam family "Bacterial small subunit ribosomal RNA", at positions 1228 to 1505 of the family's 1533-position model. The record is from RNAcentral.
CAAUGGCAGUGACAAUGGGCAGCCAGCCAGCGAUGGUGAGCUAAUCCCAAAAAACUGCCCCAGUUCAGAUUGCACUCUGCAACUCGAGUGCAUGAAGGUGGAAUCGCUAGUAAUCGCAGAACAGCAGGCUGCGGUGAAUACGUUCCCGGGCGUUGUACACACCGCCCGUCACACCAUGGGAGUUGGCUCUACCCGAAGACGGUGCGCUAACCUCGCAAGAGGAGGCAGCCGGCCACGGUCGGGUCAGCGACUGGGGUGAAGUCGUAACAAGGUAGCCGUAA